Molecule: long non-coding RNA, 331 nt
Organism: Mauremys mutica (yellowpond turtle)
Lineage: Eukaryota; Metazoa; Chordata; Testudines; Geoemydidae
Exons: 3
Source: RefSeq, a predicted model, not a curated record
GUUGUGGGGCAGGACCCCAGGCUGGCUGAGCUCAUGGGGCCCCCCUGUUACUGCAGUUUCCCACCAGGGGGCGCUGCUCCCUCACUCUUUUCCCCGCCUGUUCUCCGGCUUUGCAGCUGGGGGGUUGUGGGUGCUCUCCUCCCCCCUGCCCUCCGGCCCCCUCGACUCCCCCCUAGGAACAGCCGCAGGAGCCUACGUGUGGCCCUGGCCCAAAGAACGCGCCCUGCCCCCUGCUCGGCUCUCGUGGGAACGAAGUUCCCAAGGGAAACUCCCGCCAGUUCCCACAGCAACUCCCGGACACCUGGGUCCUGCCUGCGUCCUGGAGCAGAGG